UCUCUCUCUAGCGUUUGAGAGGGAAGGACCUGGCUGCCUGGGAGUUGAGCAGGGACUUGAGGCAGAAAAGUGUUAUUUGGCCACAACAAGCUAUUUUCAAUAUAAAACAAUGGCAAGUGUCCGGUUAGGGAUAAUGCCUGAAAAUCACAGUGGUGCCCACAGGGCAGAGAACUGUGCAAAAUGGCAGAUUCUUCCUUUGGGCCUCACUCUGCAGCUGCUCUCCGAUGAGUCCCUUGGCCCGGCACACAGGUUUAAGUACUGCAGUGCGUGAGCAAAGGGGUGAAAAACCAUGUUCCGGUUCCACCAGCAAGAUGAACUUGUUACACCCUGCAUCUACUGGAGAUGUAUUGAUUAGCCUUAGCUUGGACUUGGAGCUGGAUCACUGUGCCCAUUGGAUGUUCUUUUCACAAAGAUUUUUUUAUUUAUUGAAUUACUCUUCCAAAGGAUUUUGAGAUCUUUACAGCUUAAUUUCUUUAAAAAUAAAUACAACUAAAGGCUAA
Long non-coding RNA from Dermochelys coriacea (leatherback sea turtle), 500 nucleotides. RefSeq lists it as uncharacterized. NCBI's taxonomy places the organism in Eukaryota, Metazoa, Chordata, Testudines, Dermochelyidae. The transcript has 2 exons. The record is from RefSeq and is a predicted model, not a curated record.